RNAcentral lists this ribosomal RNA (253 nucleotides) under uncultured bacterium. RNAcentral describes it as "partial 16S ribosomal RNA". It matches the Rfam family "Bacterial small subunit ribosomal RNA", at positions 524 to 776 of the family's 1533-position model. The record is from RNAcentral.
UACGUAGGGUGCGAGCGUUAAUCGGAAUUACUGGGCGUAAAGCGUGCGCAGGCGGUUCGUUGUGUCCGUCGUGAAAGCCCCGGGCUUAACCUGGGAACUGCGAUGGAAACUAGCGAGCUGGAGUGUGGCAGAGGGGGGUGGAAUUCCGCGUGUAGCAGUGAAAUGCGUAGAUAUGCGGAGGAACACCGAUGGCGAAGGCAAUCCCCUGGGCCUGUACUGACGCUCAUGCACGAAAGCGUGGGGAGCAAACAGG